RNAcentral lists this ribosomal RNA (233 nucleotides) under uncultured bacterium. RNAcentral describes it as "partial 16S ribosomal RNA". It matches the Rfam family "Bacterial small subunit ribosomal RNA", at positions 524 to 752 of the family's 1533-position model. The record is from RNAcentral.
UACGUAGGGUGCAAGCGUUUGUCCGGAAUUAUUGGGCGUAAAGAGCUCGUAGGCGGUCUGUUGCGUCGGCUGUGAAAACCCGAGGCUCAACCUCGGGCCUGCAGCCGAUACGGGCAGACUAGAGUUCGGCAGGGGAGACUGGAAUUCCUGGUGUAGCGGUGAAAUGCGCAGAUAUCAGGAGGGAACACCGGUGGGCGAAGGCGGGUCUCUGGGCAGUAACUGACGCUGGAGGA